GAAAACACUUGGUCACUCAGCAGCCUGCUCUCGGCAUGCAGCUCGCAUAUCUCAUCCUCACCGUCUUCCUGGGACAGCUCCUGGGCACCACGGGGCAGGACACGGUCACCCAGGAACAUGGACCAGUCUUGGUGAAGCAGGGACACCCCUUCCACACCAUAUGCAAAUACCACACCAGUUAUUUUACUGGCUUACUGUGGUACCAGCUGAGGAAAGGCGAAGCCCCAGAGCUGAUCUCCUAUCAAGCAGGGGCUGGCUCCAAGCGCAGCGGCCGUUUCACCAUGCAGCUGAACACCACGGGCAAAUCCAGUGUCCUGCAGCUGGAGGAAGUGGAGCUCUCUGACUCUGCCUUGUACCUCUGUGCUCUGCAAGACACCCUGAUGCAGUCAGAGCCCAGGUACAGCAGGAGCCAUUCCUGGAGACCACCGAGGGCACCGGCAUCAACAUCACCUGCUAACAUCCCAAAAUCCAGACCGGUUAUUGGAUCCAGUGGUACCGUCAGCUCCCUGGCCAAGGACCCGAACUCCUCGCACUCACUAUGA
Molecule: non-coding RNA, 542 nt
Organism: Melospiza melodia melodia
Lineage: Eukaryota; Metazoa; Chordata; Aves; Passeriformes; Passerellidae
Source: the annotation of a RefSeq genome assembly